Molecule: long non-coding RNA, 493 nt
Organism: Sarcophilus harrisii (Tasmanian devil)
Lineage: Eukaryota; Metazoa; Chordata; Mammalia; Dasyuromorphia; Dasyuridae
Exons: 3
Source: RefSeq, a predicted model, not a curated record
GUGAAGGCUUUUAAUUUGAAUCUCCUGAUAUUCAACCCUGUCUUCCUUCCAUUGUGACAUGCUGCCUUACUUAGAAGUGGAAUGAGUAUGAGUUUUGGAAAUGCUUGCCAGGUGGUAAAAAUCAUAGCAUUUAGCAACUGUGCAAUCCAUUCUAGAAGCAGUGUACAUAUAAAUGAGUGUGGAAUUGAAAAAAAAAAAGGAGCUAAACUUUGUGAUGAAGAUUGGAAACAGAUUCUUCUGAUCAUAAAAUAAAAUUCUGUGAGAUCCAUCUAAAAGAUAAGCAAGAAGAAUGCCCAGAAGAAUGGAAGGAAUGGCAUAAACCCUUGAUGGAUAAUGUAUCAACUGACCUAUCCAAGGCAAACUAUACUUGGAUCUUAAGAGCUCAGAGUUAAAAGCAAACCCGGCUACAUUAUCUCUGUCAGAAGCACUCCAUAUAAUGACACUGCAGAGAUGGGACGAUAACAAAGAACCUUAUGAAAGCUGGGAGACUGAU